This 492-nucleotide ribosomal RNA is filed under the name uncultured bacterium. RNAcentral describes it as "partial 16S ribosomal RNA". It matches the Rfam family "Bacterial small subunit ribosomal RNA", at positions 29 to 507 of the family's 1533-position model. The record is from RNAcentral.
AGUGAACGCUGGCGGUAGGCCUAACACAUGCAAGUCGAACGGCAGCACAGUAAGAGCUUGCUCUUACGGGUGGCGAGUGGCGGACGGGUGAGGAAUACAUCGGAAUCUACUUUUUCGUGGGGGAUAACGUAGGGAAACUUACGCUAAUACCGCAUACGACCUACGGGUGAAAGCAGGGGAUCUUCGGACCUUGCGCGAUUCAAUGAGCCGAUGUCGGAUUAGCUAGUUGGCGGGGUAAAGGCCCACCAAGGCGACGAUACGUAGCUGGUCUGAGAGGAUGAUCAGCCACACUGGAACUGAGACACGGUCCAGACUCCUACGGGAGGCAGCAGUGGGGAAUAUUGGACAAUGGGCGAAAGCCUGAUCCAGCCAUACCGCGUGGGUGAAGAAGGCCUUCGGGUUGUAAAGCCCUUUUGUUGGGAAAGAAAAGCAGCAGGUUAAUACCCCGCUGUUCUGACGGUACCCAAAGAAUAAGCACCGGCUAACUUCGUG